CUUUAAUCGGUUUAAAGGGUACCUAGACGGAAAAUCAAGCUUAAUUAAACUAAGGACUAGUUUUCUAGAGUUUGACAUGAGAAGGUACGAACUAUCAGAGGAGAGAUAAAAUUUGUUGAUACUGGUGGGACGGACAACGGCGAAGGCAAUCUUCUACUAAAAACUGACGUUGAGGGACGAAGCCUUGGGGAGCGAGAAGGAUUAGAUACCCUAGUAGUCCUUGGAGAAAAUUAUGAGUGCCAUAGACUAAAGUGAAAAAGAAGUUCUUUUAAAAGAACUUUGUAUCUGAGCCUUAAUUGGAUACAAAGGUCUGGAGUAGCAGUUUAUAAAUGAAAGUGUAAGCAUUCCACCUCAUGACUAAAGCGGCAACGCCCAAAUUGAAAUCAUUAGACCGUUUCUGAAACCAGUAGUGAAGUAUGUUAUUUAAUUCGAUAACCCGCGAAUAACCUUACCACGUUUUGAAUUUAUUAAACAAGUGUUGCACGGCUGUCUUCAGUUAAUGUCGUGAGAUUUUGGUUUGUUCCAUUAAUUAACGAAAACCCUUGUUUCAUUUUUAUAUGAAAUAGUUCACCG
RNAcentral lists this ribosomal RNA (573 nucleotides) under Chaetothyriales sp. A594. RNAcentral's name for it is "SSU rRNA". It matches the Rfam family "Bacterial small subunit ribosomal RNA", at positions 547 to 1136 of the family's 1533-position model. The record is from RNAcentral. Lineage: Eukaryota; Fungi; Ascomycota; Eurotiomycetes; Chaetothyriales.